RNAcentral lists this long non-coding RNA (763 nucleotides) under Salvia miltiorrhiza (redroot sage). RNAcentral's name for it is "long non-coding RNA (SMIL_LNC004942)". Lineage: Eukaryota; Viridiplantae; Streptophyta; Magnoliopsida; Lamiales; Lamiaceae. The record is from RNAcentral.
CAGUUUAUUUAUUUAUUUUCUGAAUUUUCAGUUUUAUUUAUUUAUUUUCGUAAUUUUCUAGUUUAUUUUAUUUUCUAGUAAAAAAUUAUUUCCUAGUUUAUUUAUUUAUUUAUUUUCUGUAAUUUUUAGUUUUAUUUUUUUAUUUAUUUUCUGAAUUUCAAGUUUAUUUAUUUAUUUAUUUUUGAAUUUUCAGUUUAUUUAUUUCCAAUUUAUUUAUUUAUUUAUUUCCAGUUUAUUUAUUUAUUUUUCGAAUUUCAAGUUUAUUUAUUUAUUUAUUUUUGAAUUUCCAGUUUAUUUAUUUUCCAGUUUAUUUAUUUCCUAGUUUUGUUUACUUAUUUAUUUAUUUAUUUCCAGUUUAUUUAUUUAUUUUUCUCAAUUUUCAGUUUAUUUAUUUAUUUAUUUUCGUAAUUUUCAGUUUAUUUAUUUUUUGAAAAUUUUAUUUCUAAUUUAUUUAUUUUCCAGUUUAUUUAUGUAUUUAUUUAUUUAUUUUCUGAAUUUUCAGUUUAUUUAUUUAUUUAUUUUCUGAAUUUCAAGUUUAUUUAUUUUUUGAAAAAUUUAUUUCUAAUUUAUUCAUUUAAAUGCUUUCAUUUAAUUCACCUAAUAAAAUAAUGCCAAAUAGUUAGUGCAAGAUUAGUAAAAGUAACCACAAUACAUUAACACUACCCUUUUAGUCUUUUACACCACCUUUACACCACCUUUUUCAGCUUUCUUAAAACCCGUGCCGAACACCAAAUAGGAAGAUGAUUCGUGGACGGAGGGAGUA